This 24-nucleotide non-coding RNA is filed under the name Arabidopsis thaliana (thale cress). The record is from RNAcentral. Lineage: Eukaryota; Viridiplantae; Streptophyta; Magnoliopsida; Brassicales; Brassicaceae.
CCAGAUGUUGUUGAGGUCGUGGUC